GACGGGGGGUCCAAGCGUUGUUCGGAAUCAUUGGGCGUAAAGCGGGCGUAGGUGGCUAUGUAAGUCAGGAGUGAAAGCCCUGGGCUCAACCCAGGAAGUGCUCUUGAUACUGCUUAGCUUGAAUGUGGGAGAGGGUAGUAGAAUUCCAGGUGUAGUGGUGAAAUACGUAGAUAUCUGGAGGAAUACCGGUGGCGAAGGCGGCUACCUGGCCCAACAUUGACACUGAGGCCCGAAAGCGUGGGGAUCAAACAGG
RNAcentral lists this ribosomal RNA (253 nucleotides) under uncultured bacterium. RNAcentral describes it as "partial 16S ribosomal RNA". It matches the Rfam family "Bacterial small subunit ribosomal RNA", at positions 524 to 776 of the family's 1533-position model. The record is from RNAcentral.